This 667-nucleotide ribosomal RNA is filed under the name uncultured beta proteobacterium. RNAcentral's name for it is "bacterial SSU rRNA". It matches the Rfam family "Bacterial small subunit ribosomal RNA", at positions 747 to 1419 of the family's 1533-position model. The record is from RNAcentral. Lineage: Bacteria; Pseudomonadati; Pseudomonadota; Betaproteobacteria.
CAUGCACCGAAAGCGUGGGAGCAAACAAGGAUUAGAUACCCUGGUAGUCCACGCCCUAAACGAUGUCUACUAGUUGUCGGGUCUUAAUUGACUUGGUAACGCAGCUAACGCGUGAAGUAGACCGCCUGGGGAGUACGGUCGCAAGAUUAAAACUCAAAGGAAUUGACGGGGACCCGCACAAGCGGUGGAUGAUGUGGAUUAAUUCGAUGCAACGCGAAAAACCUUACCUACCCUUGACAUGUACGGAACCCUGCUGAGAAGUGGGGGUGCUCGAAAGAGAACCGUAACACAGGUGCUGCAUGGCUGUCGUCAGCUCGUGUCGUGAGAUGUUGGGUUAAGUCCCGCAACGAGCGCAACCCUUGUCAUUAGUUGCUACGAAAGGGCACUCUAAUGAGACUGCCGGUGACAAACCGGAGAAAGGUGGGGAUGACGUCAAGUCCUCAUGGCCCUUAUGGGUAGGGCUUCACACGUCAUACAAUGGUACAUACAGAGGGCCGCCAACCCGCGAGGGGGAGCUAAUCCCAGAAAGUGUAUCGUAGUCCGGAUUGUAGUCUGCAACUCGACUACAUGAAGUUGGAAUCGCUAGUAAUCGCGGAUCAGCAUGUCGCGGUGAAUACGUUCCCGGGUCUUGUACGCACCGCCCGUCACACCAUGGGAGCGGGUUUUA